CCCACUCGGUCCGUAUUGGGUCUGCAAAGCGGCACGAGCCAUUGAAUCCACCACGACCGACCUCUCUUCCUGGCGCGGCGACGACUCUUUUUUGGUUUUUUGGUUUUGGUCCGGCAGCCCGGCUUCUGCUUCCGCUUCCACUUCCGCUGUUGAUUUACGGACUGUGAGAAAGAGGAAUUUGAGGAGGCAUGGAGGAGGGGGCGAAGAAGGCGAAGGGAGAGGCAGAGGAGGAGAUAGCGAGGGCGAUGCGGGCGCGAGUGAGCCACUUCAAAGAGCAGGCUGACUCGUUGACUCUUGAAGGUGUCCGAAGAAUACUAGAGAAGGAUUUGGGAAAGGAGGCUUUCUCUCUAGAUGUUCAUAAACGGUUUAUUAAGAAAUGUUUGGAUGAGUGCUUUUAUGGUGCUGAAGAUGAGAAGCUGUCUGAAACUUCAGGAAAGGUCAAAGCAACGGCUGCUCAAACUGUCAAAGAAGGAUCUGAAGCCUUGCAGUUAAAAACUGAUAGCAGUGGCCUCGAAGAGAAGAUAGACGGAUCUUCUGCUUUGGAUGGAAAUGUACCAGCAGAGCAUGAAAGUGGAAAUAGUCAAGCUGCUGAAUUUCAUGGCCUCAAUGAGGACGUGGUAAAGAAGGCUCUGAAAAAGAGAACUACUUACAUAAGAGAUAAUUUAGAGCGUAUUACUUUACAGGAAGUUCGUAGGAUUUUGGAAGAUGAUCUCAAACUAAAGAAGAAAGCUCUUGAUGCCUAUAAAAGUUUUAUUAGCAAAGAAUUAGAUGAACUCAUACAAUCAUGUGAAGGAGUUGUCGAAUCCACAAAUGGGGUGAAGAAGAGCAGUAAGAAGUGUUCGCAAAAUGUGGAUGAAGAAGAUACUAGCAAAGGCCGAAAAAGAGUGCAUCAAGAAUCAGAUUCUUCUGAUGUUGAUGAUACGCAUAGUGCGGAUGAAGAACUUGAUAAUGAGAAAAGGCUGAAAAAGGAGGCUCAAAAAAUUAAAGUAAGCACCAAAGGUAUAAAAAGGCAAAAGCCAGCAGAAAAGGAUUUAGAUCGCAGUUUAGAAGAAGAUGGAAGAAACUCUUCUGAAGAUGGUCAUUCUCAUUCAUCCACCGAGGAGAAAGUGAAGAAUAAACGAGAAAAGGCCACUCAAGUAUAUGGGAAACAAGUAGAGCAUCUAAAGUUGAUAAUUAAAUCUUGUGGAAUGAGUGUCCCUCCAUCAGUUUAUAAGAGGGUCAAACAAGCUCCUGAAAGCAAGCGUGAGGAGUACCUGAUAAAGGAGUUAGAAGAGAUGCUUGAAAAGGAAGGGCUGUCAAGUAAUCCUACUGAAAAAGAGAUUAAGGCUGUCAAAAAGAGAAAGGAAAGAGCAAGAGAACUCGAAGGCAUUGAUCUAAGCAAUAUUGUCACCAGUUCGCGCCGAAGAUCUUCAAUCAAUUACAUACCUCUACCAAAGCCUAGAAUAGAAGUUGAGAGUGAUGAUGAUGAAGAAGAGGAAGAUGAAGAUGAAGAUGAAGAUGAUGAGGAUGGUGAUGACAAUGAAAAGGAUACAGAUAAUGGCGGUAACAAUGGUGGAGAUUCGAGUGAAGGUUCGCUAUGAGAAUGAUGCCUCUGUUGCUGGUCAAUCUGGACUUCGGGUUUAUAUCAGACGGAAUACAUCCUGGCCUAUUGCAAUCACUUCUCCUACUGGUCCGGCACCUCCCACAAUUUGGACCUCCACCUCCCCCCCUCACCACCCCCCCUCAAACCUGAUGCCGCCCUACCGAUAGCAUUCUCUGCUUUACCUACUACACCUAUCAGUUCCCCUUUACCUUCCCGUACUCACUCUAUGAUCACCCGAUCCAUGAUGAAGGAUUUGCUUGCCUGAGUCUACCACUUUUCUUGCUUCUAAGAUCUCUAUUCUUCCUACCGAGCCUAACUCUUUUGCUGAGGCUUCUCAAGAUGCAGGUUGGCAUGCAAUUAUGGUUGAAGAGUUUGAUGCCUUAUUGGUCAACUCUACUUGGGAUCUUGUUCCUCCCUCAUUCGUCAACCUUAUUUGCUGCAAGUGAGUGUAUUAGGUCAAGCAGAAGGCCGAUGGCUCUUUUGAGCGUUUCAAAGCUCGACUUAUGGCUCAGGGCUACAAGCAACAAUAAGAUGUUGAAGAUGAGAGUGAUUGAAAGAUACUGUGAGUUUAUACUUCUUCGCCAGUAUUUCAGGAUUGAACUGUGGCAGCUAAAGCUAGAGUUUCACACUAAUCUUACCCUCCUGUAAGUAGAUCUGUAAGUUAUGUGAUGGAAUUGUGCUGCGUUGUCCUGCAAGUUCUGGGUCCGGUUUACGUGUUUACAGAGUGAGAUGUCAAUGCUAGCCUUUUUUUUUUUUUGUAGUUU
Molecule: RNA transcript, 2346 nt
Organism: Ananas comosus (pineapple)
Lineage: Eukaryota; Viridiplantae; Streptophyta; Magnoliopsida; Poales; Bromeliaceae
Gene name: eukaryotic translation initiation factor 5B
Exons: 10
Source: RefSeq, a predicted model, not a curated record